ACUGGGGCAUCACUCCCGAUCUGUCUGCCCCGUUAUCUCAGACCCACAGAGGAAGCGCCCAGCCCGGGAGGACAGAGCUGUGAAUGAGCCCACACAGGAAGAGUAAAAUUCAGAAGUUUGCUGAAUGCGAAUGGGCUGCUCUGGCUGAAAUGAGCUCCUUCCAGGAUGGCUCUGUGCUCACUUCACAACUCCUCAUCUUAAAACACAUGAACAUCCCUGGAGAAACAGACAAUUCUGAGAAAUCACUUUCUGCCAGAAGCUGGGGCAAGGAGCCAGAAUCCUUACAAUGCCAGGAAGUCAACACCGACUUGCUCUAUUGGCCUGGACACAGUGACUUGUCGCUUCCUGCCAGUACCCUUGGGAAUGACCAGUCUUGCCUCUGGAAGAGAGGACUCUUGUCUGAAAAGAUAAUUUUCCAUAAAAAAGAAAAUCCUCCCUGAAUCCCUGCCCUCUAGUCCCUUCCUUUGCUAGCCACAGUAUCUCACUCCACAGCAAGGGCCUCAUGAGCUGAGUGGCCUAUACCUGAGCUCUUGAAGAGUCAAAAGUGCCCUAGAUGGGUGGCGGUGGGAGUUCACCCAGUCGGUGAGAUGCCUGCACCCCGUAUCUCAGUGUCCCCCACGUCUGAGUGCCCGGGUUCAAGUCCCAAUUCUAGAUUCCUGCUAUUGCAGAUCCUGGGAGGCAGGAGCGAUGAUUGAAGUAACUGGAUUCCUGCCAGCCAUGUGGGAGAUGUGGGAGACGUGCUCUGAGUUCCUGGCUGCCGCCUGCAGCCUGGCCCAGCUCCAACCACUGCAGGCAUUUGGGGAGGUGAACCAGCAGAUGGGAGCUUGCUUCUGCCCGUCUGUCUCUCAAAGAAAGAAUUAUUUUAAUGAGGAUUCUAAGUUUAUAUUUAAAAAGGUGGUAGUAAGACAGACUUGAUACCAAAAAUAAUACUGGGGACAGAUUGUUUAGAGUAUUGGCAUCCAGUGGUGUACAUUGAGUCUACCUUUGUCUGACAUUCUCUGAUUAAUGAUAAAAAGAAGAUACAAUGUAAAUUGAAUAUUAAGUGACAUUUUGAUUGUCAAAGAUUCAGGAUCUCACGAGGUCAACAAAAGUGAUGGUGGAGAACAGCUUGAACCGCAUUCAAAACCAGUGACCAGCGAGGUCUUGGUAGUAUCAACCAAAGAACAAAAACCAGAAAGGAUAGUGACGUGUCAAUUUCAAAGGGAAUGAGUCAAGUAUCAAAGGAUUUAAAGUGGUCCUUAAAAAAAAUAUAUGAAGCCCUUAAUUUGGUAAAUGCUACCAUUUUAUAAUUAUGCUGUGUCAAAUAUGAGGUGAAGUUGGUAAUUUUGAGCUAUUAAUUUUUUUCAGAAAUGUUAUAUAUCAGUAAAACUCCUCUAAUGGGCAAGCCUUAAUCUUUGCUGUUUCUGAGAAUAAUUUCACUAUAUUAUAUACAGAAUAUAA
This 1440-nucleotide long non-coding RNA is filed under the name Oryctolagus cuniculus (rabbit). Its description in RNAcentral is "lncRNA (ENSOCUG00000039144.1)". Lineage: Eukaryota; Metazoa; Chordata; Mammalia; Lagomorpha; Leporidae. The record is from RNAcentral.